RNAcentral lists this ribosomal RNA (472 nucleotides) under uncultured bacterium. RNAcentral's name for it is "partial 16S ribosomal RNA". It matches the Rfam family "Bacterial small subunit ribosomal RNA", at positions 28 to 507 of the family's 1533-position model. The record is from RNAcentral.
GACGAACGCUGGCGGCGUGCUUAACACAUGCAAGUCGAACGCUGAAGCUUGGUGUUUGCACUGGGUGGAUGAGUGUCGAACGGGUGAGUAAUACGUGAGUAACCUGCCCUUGACUCUGGGAUAAGCCUGGGAAACUGGGUCUAAUACUGGAUACGACAUGUCACCGCAUGGUGGUGUGUGGAAAGGGUUUUACUGGUUUUGGAUGGGCUCACGGCCUAUCAGCUUGUUGGUGGGGUAAUGGCUCACCAAGGCGACGACGGGUAGCCGGCCUGAGAGGGUGACCGGCCACACUGGGACUGAGACACGGCCCAGACUCCUACGGGAGGCAGCAGUGGGGAAUAUUGCACAAUGGUCGGAAGCCUGAUGCAGCGACGCCGCGUGAGGGAUGACGGCCUUCGGGUUGUAAACCUCUUUCAGCACGGAAGAAGCGAAAGUGACGGUACGUGCAGAAGAAGCGCCGGCUAACUACGUG